CACGAACCGUCCAAACGUUAUUCGGAAUUAUUGGGCUUAAAGGGUGCGUAGGCGGCGCUUUAAGUCGGGUGUGAAAUCCUUCGGCUCAACCGAAGAAUUGCGCCCGAUACUGGGGUGCUAGAGGGAGACAGGGGUGAGCGGAACUGAUGGUGGAGCGGUGAAAUGCGUUGAUAUCAUCAGGAACACCGGUGGCGAAAGCGGCUCACUGGGUCUCUUCUGACGCUGAGGCACGAAAGCCAGGGUAGCGAAC
Molecule: ribosomal RNA, 250 nt
Filed under: uncultured bacterium
Lineage: Bacteria
Description: partial 16S ribosomal RNA
Rfam family: Bacterial small subunit ribosomal RNA
Source: RNAcentral